CCUACGGGAGGCAGCAGUGAGGAAUAUUGGUCAAUGGCCGUAAGGCUGAACCAGCCAAGUAGCGUGAGGGAAGACUGCCCUAUGGGUUGUAAACCUCUUUUAUGCGGGGAUAAAGGUGUCCACGUGUGGAUGUUUGCAGGUACCGCAUGAAUAAGGACCGGCUAAUUCCGUGCCAGCAGCCGCGGUAAUACGGAAGGUCCGGGCGUUAUCCGGAUUUAUUGGGUUUAAAGGAAGCGUAGGCCGGUCAUUAAGCGUGCCGUGAAAUUUUGUGGCUUAACCAGGGGAGUUCGGCUAGAACUGGAGACCUUGAGUGCGCGGAAGGAAGGCGGAAUUCGUGGUGUGGCGGUGAAAUGCUUAGAUAUCACGAGGAACCCCGAUGGCGAGGGCGGCCUGCCGCAGAGUUACUGACGCUGAAGCUCGAAAGUGCGGGUAGCGAACAGGAUUAGAUACCCUUGUAGUC
Molecule: ribosomal RNA, 460 nt
Filed under: uncultured bacterium
Lineage: Bacteria
Description: partial 16S ribosomal RNA
Rfam family: Bacterial small subunit ribosomal RNA
Source: RNAcentral